CGUGGGGGGGGUGCUAAUACAUGCAAGUAGAACGCUGAAGAGAGGAGCUUGCUCUUCUUGGAUGAGUUGCGAACGGGUGAGUAACGCGUAGGUAACCUGCCUUGUAGCGGGGGAUAACUAUUGGAAACGAUAGCUAAUACCGCAUAACAAUGGAUGACUCAUGUCAUUUAUUUGAAAGGGGCAAUUGCUCCACUACAAGAUGGACCUGCGUUGUAUUAGCUAGUAGGUGAGGUAACGGCUCACCUAGGCGACGAUACAUAGCCGACCUGAGAGGGUGAUCGGCCACACUGGGACUGAGACACGGCCCAGACUCCUACGGGAGGCAGCAGUAGGGAAUCUUCGGCAAUGGGGGCAACCCUGACCGAGCAACGCCGCGUGAGUGAAGAAGGUUUUCGGAUCGUAAAGCUCUGUUGUAAGUCAAGAACGAGUGUGAGAGUGGAAAGUUCACACUGUGACGGUAGCUUACCAGAAAGGGACGGCUAACUACGUGCCAGCAGCCGCGGUAAUACGUAGGUCCCGAGCGUUGUCCGGAUUUAUUGGGCGUAAAGCGAGCGCAGGCGGUUUGAUAAGUCUGAAGUUAAAGGCUGUGGCUCAACCAUAGUUCGCUUUGGAAACUGUCAAACUUGAGUGCAGAAGGGGAGAGUGGAAUUCCAUGUGUAGCGGUGAAAUGCGUAGAUAUAUGGAGGAACACCGGUGGCGAAAGCGGCUCUCUGGUCUGUAACUGACGCUGAGGCUCGAAAGCGUGGGGAGCGAACAGGAUUAGAUACCCUGGUAGUCCACGCCGUAAACGAUGAGUGCUAGGUGUUGGAUCCUUUCCGGGAUUCAGUGCCGCAGCUAACGCAUUAAGCACUCCGCCUGGGGAGUACGACCGCAAGUGUUGAAACUCAAAGGAAUUGACGGGGGCCCGCACAAGCGGUGGAGCAUGUGGUUUAAUUCGAAGCAACGCGAAGAACCUUACCAGGUCUGACAUCCCGAUGCUAUUUCUAGAGAUAGAAAGUUACUUCGGUACAUCGGUGACAGUGUUG
This 1025-nucleotide ribosomal RNA is filed under the name Streptococcus salivarius. RNAcentral describes it as "bacterial SSU rRNA". It matches the Rfam family "Bacterial small subunit ribosomal RNA", at positions 34 to 1043 of the family's 1533-position model. The record is from RNAcentral. Lineage: Bacteria; Bacillati; Bacillota; Bacilli; Lactobacillales; Streptococcaceae.